Molecule: transfer RNA, 66 nt
Filed under: Mytilus galloprovincialis (Mediterranean mussel)
Lineage: Eukaryota; Metazoa; Mollusca; Bivalvia; Mytilida; Mytilidae
Description: tRNA-Pro
Rfam family: tRNA
About the family: Transfer RNA (tRNA) molecules are approximately 80 nucleotides in length.
Source: RNAcentral
CUAGAUAUAGUUUAAAAUAAAAACAUUGGCUUUGGGAGCUAAAUAUACCUUUAUGGGUUUUCUAGA